GUGGUUGUGGCUCAAUGGUAGAGCGCUCGCCUUGCAUGUGUGAAACACUGGGUUCAACCCUCAGCACCACA
Molecule: transfer RNA, 71 nt
Filed under: Marmota monax (woodchuck)
Lineage: Eukaryota; Metazoa; Chordata; Mammalia; Rodentia; Sciuridae
Rfam family: tRNA
About the family: Transfer RNA (tRNA) molecules are approximately 80 nucleotides in length. Their secondary structure includes four short double-helical elements and three loops (D, anti-codon, and T loops).
Source: Rfam by way of RNAcentral